GCAAGUAUGGCUGAAAUGGCAUAGGCACCUAUCUGCAAAAUAGGUUCAUGAGAGUUCAAGUCUCUCUACUUGCU
RNAcentral lists this transfer RNA (74 nucleotides) under Pectobacterium phage Arno18. RNAcentral describes it as "tRNA-Cys". It matches the Rfam family "tRNA". From Rfam's summary of the family: Transfer RNA (tRNA) molecules are approximately 80 nucleotides in length. Their secondary structure includes four short double-helical elements and three loops (D, anti-codon, and T loops). Further hydrogen bonds mediate the characteristic L-shaped molecular structure. tRNAs have two regions of fundamental functional importance: the anti-codon, which is responsible for specific mRNA codon recognition, and the 3' end, to which the tRNAs corresponding amino acid is attached (by aminoacyl-tRNA synthetases). tRNAs cope with the degeneracy of the genetic code in two manners: having more than one tRNA (with a specific anti-codon) for a particular amino acid; and 'wobble' base-pairing, i.e. permitting non-standard base-pairing at the 3rd anti-codon position. Lineage: Duplodnaviria; Heunggongvirae; Uroviricota; Caudoviricetes; Andersonviridae. The record is from RNAcentral.